UACGUAGGGUGCAAGCGUUAAUCGGAAUUACUGGGCGUAAAGCGUGCGCAGGCGGUUGUGCAAGACAGAUGUGAAAUCCCCGGGCUCAACCUGGGAACUGCAUUUGUGACUGCACGGCUGGAGUGCGGCAGAGGGGGAUGGGAAUUCCGCGUGUAGCAGUGAAAUGCGUAGAUAUGCGGAGGAACACCGAUGGCGAAGGCAAUCCCCUGGGCCUGCACUGGACGCUCAUGCACGAAAGCGUGGGGAGCAAACAGGA
This 256-nucleotide ribosomal RNA is filed under the name uncultured bacterium. RNAcentral describes it as "partial 16S ribosomal RNA". It matches the Rfam family "Bacterial small subunit ribosomal RNA", at positions 524 to 777 of the family's 1533-position model. The record is from RNAcentral.